GGCCCAAGUUUACCCAUUCAACAUGAAUAUAAAAGAAGAGUUGGAGGAGGGUGUGAAUAAAGAGUUUCUUGAAGACCCAUUGAAGGCUGAUGGGCCUAGUGUUUGGAUAAAGUAAGACCCUGAACUGAAAAAGCAGGCUGAUGGAUCUGAGCAUAAUUCCAUUGAAGAUCCAUUGGGAAUAUUGUGGUCCACUGAUUUUAUCAAGGAGGAUCCUUAAUUAAAUUUGGAAAUGAGUGUAACUGAUAAUAUUGUAAGU
Long non-coding RNA from Schistocerca cancellata (South American locust), 256 nucleotides. RefSeq lists it as uncharacterized. The record is from RefSeq and is a predicted model, not a curated record. The transcript is spliced from 3 exons. Lineage: Eukaryota; Metazoa; Arthropoda; Insecta; Orthoptera; Acrididae.